GCCGCCCCACCCUUGGAUUUUUUUAUUUUUAUCGAGAUAUAUUUUAGUUAUAUAUAUAUAUAUAUAUAUAUACGUCAUUACUUUUUUAAAAGAGAGAAAAAAAACAAGAAAAGAAAAGAAAAGAAAUUCCCUCCCUGCCUUUCAGCAAUGGUGACCCCCUUUUUGUACCCUUUUUUCCUCUAACUUCCUGUAAUAACAGUAAUAAGUAAUAAUGGUAAUAGUAAUAAUAUAUAGUGAAUAUGGAUCCGGGCAAGCGAGCGGUUCCCGGACAGAACUGAGAAAUGAAACUUAAAAGAGCAGCAAGCAGCAGUCUGUCUGGGAGGGGAGAAGCCGCCCCAUCCCUAAGCAAAUUGGAUGAAAGUCUUUGAUUGAUUCCACUGGC
This 382-nucleotide small RNA is filed under the name Histoplasma capsulatum. RNAcentral's name for it is "hypothetical RNA". Lineage: Eukaryota; Fungi; Ascomycota; Eurotiomycetes; Onygenales; Ajellomycetaceae. The record is from RNAcentral. RNAcentral also lists the same sequence under 1 other name.